GCAUCGGCGUGGAAGGGCCAUCGCUCAACGGAUAAAAGCUACCCUGGGGAUAACAGGCUUAGCUCCCCCAAGAGUCCACAUCGACGGGGAGGUUUGGCACCUCGAUGUCGGCUCAUCACAUCCUGGGGCUGUAGUAGGUCCCAAGGGUUGGGCUGUUCGCCCAUUAAAGUGGUACGCGAGCUGGGUUCAGAACGUCGUGAGACAGUUCGGUCCCUAUCCGUCGCAGGCGUAGGAAAUUUGAGAAGACCUGUCCUUAGUA
RNAcentral lists this ribosomal RNA (259 nucleotides) under Clostridioides difficile. RNAcentral describes it as "partial 23S ribosomal RNA". It matches the Rfam family "Bacterial large subunit ribosomal RNA", at positions 2426 to 2683 of the family's 2925-position model. The record is from RNAcentral. Lineage: Bacteria; Bacillati; Bacillota; Clostridia; Peptostreptococcales; Peptostreptococcaceae.